RNAcentral lists this transfer RNA (73 nucleotides) under Biomphalaria glabrata. It matches the Rfam family "tRNA". Rfam says of the family: Transfer RNA (tRNA) molecules are approximately 80 nucleotides in length. Their secondary structure includes four short double-helical elements and three loops (D, anti-codon, and T loops). Further hydrogen bonds mediate the characteristic L-shaped molecular structure. tRNAs have two regions of fundamental functional importance: the anti-codon, which is responsible for specific mRNA codon recognition, and the 3' end, to which the tRNAs corresponding amino acid is attached (by aminoacyl-tRNA synthetases). tRNAs cope with the degeneracy of the genetic code in two manners: having more than one tRNA (with a specific anti-codon) for a particular amino acid; and 'wobble' base-pairing, i.e. permitting non-standard base-pairing at the 3rd anti-codon position. The record is from Rfam by way of RNAcentral. Lineage: Eukaryota; Metazoa; Mollusca; Gastropoda; Planorbidae.
GGCAUUGUGGUUGAGUGGUAACGCGUUUGGCUUCCAAACCCAGGGGUCUCAGGUUCAAUUCCUGGAAAAGCCU